This 290-nucleotide ribosomal RNA is filed under the name uncultured bacterium. RNAcentral describes it as "partial 16S ribosomal RNA". It matches the Rfam family "Bacterial small subunit ribosomal RNA", at positions 505 to 796 of the family's 1533-position model. The record is from RNAcentral.
GUGCAGCAGCCGCGGUAAUACGGCGGGUGCGAGCGUUAAUCGGAAUCACUGGGCGUAAAGCGCACGUAGGCGGCUUGUUAAGUCAGAUGUGAAAGCCCUGGGCUCAACCUGGGAAUUGCAUUCGAAACUGCUUGACUAGAGUAUGGGAGAGGGAAGUGGAAUUUCCGGUGUAGCGGUGAAAUGCGUAGAUAUCGGAAGGAACAUCAGUGGCGAAGGCGACUUCCUGGACCAAUACUGACGCUGAGGUGCGAAAGCGUGGGGAGCAAACAGGAUUAGAAACCCGGUAGUCC